Lathyrus oleraceus (garden pea) is the source of this 767-nucleotide long non-coding RNA. RefSeq lists it as uncharacterized. The record is from RefSeq and is a predicted model, not a curated record. The transcript has 3 exons. Lineage: Eukaryota; Viridiplantae; Streptophyta; Magnoliopsida; Fabales; Fabaceae.
CACUCUCAAAUAUACCAUAUCCACAUUGAUUGUCUACUGAAACAGAAGUUGGCGUUUUGUGUGAAGUAUACCACCUUCUACAAACAAUGCUCGAUUGUCAUGCUUAAUAGGGAUGAACUUGUGUACAACAUGAUCAAUGAAUAUAUGAACCCAAAUGAGCACACUUCAAAGGUGGCUCUCUUGGAAGCUCCUUCUACAAAUCCAACAUCUCAAAACAAGCAUAAUUUGGUGAAGCAUUAUCUCACCCUGAGUGGAGGCAAGCAAUGAUUGAUGAAAUGUGUGCUAUUCAAAGCAGUUGUACCUGGGAACUGGUUCCUCUACCCCCUGGGAAAUCUUUAGUAGGUUGUCGUUGGCUUUAUACAGUGAAGGUUGGUCCAAAUGGUAAGAUUGAUCGAUUUAAAGCUCGCUUGGUAGCCAAAGGAUACCCUCUGAUUUUUGGAUUGGAUUAUAGUGAUACCUUCUCGUUUGUAGCCAAGAUGGCAUCUGUUAGACUUCUUUUAGCCAUUUCAGCUAUUCGAUAUUGGCCUUUUCAUCAACUUGACAUCAAAAAUGAUUUUUUACAUGGUGAUCUUGAAGAGGAAAUAUAUAUGGAGCAACCACCUGGAUUUGUUACUCAGGGGGAGUCAUUGAAUAUGGUGUGUAGGUUACACAGGUCUCUUUAUGGUCUUAAGCAAUCUCCGAGAGCUUGGUUCGGCAAAUUCAGCGUUGUAGUAUAACAGUUUGGUAUGGUCCAUAGUGAAGCUGACCAUUCUAUUUUUUAUCAUCAC